Non-coding RNA from Paramuricea clavata, 598 nucleotides. The record is from the annotation of a GenBank genome assembly. NCBI's taxonomy places the organism in Eukaryota, Metazoa, Cnidaria, Anthozoa, Malacalcyonacea, Plexauridae.
CCGAUAUACUAUGUGAUUUGCGCGCAUCGGUGCGCAAUGCAUCGCGGUAUGGGGACGGCGCGUUAUAAAAGACGGGCGGUCGACGCAAUUUAUUCAAAAGCAAUCUCGACCGUCGCCAAGUGUAUACUGGUCUCCAAACAGAUUCCAACUGCGAAAACGGUGUAUAUCUUGGUCUUUCAACUGCUGCAGUUUGAGUAUAUAUAUUCAGUGCGAAGAGAAAAUUAUAAGACUUGUAUAAUCGGAGUAAUUUGGUCGUGGAAAAAACGCAAACUAACUUUUCAUCAUGAAGUGUUCAAUUGUAUUGCUUGUAUUGGUCUUGUCUAUAAUGACGGCUUUCCUCGUGCAUGAGUCAGACGCGGUAAAUACAGCUAUAAAGCCGAAGAUACGUACAUAUAGAGUAUUAAAGAAAAAAGUAGUGUCACCAAAGUCUACAAAUCCCAACACAGGUAGAGGACAAAGAGUGACGAUAUUUAAAAGGAAAAUUAAGAACAAAGACAAAUCGAGACGACGUGUUCCAGGAAUGCACGGUAAGCGUCUGUUUUAAUGCUAGUGAUAAUUCACACGAUAUCUUCUCUGCAUGCAUCUCAAAAUAACAGAG